GGUUGUGGCUUAGUGGCAGAGUGCUUGCCUUGCAUGUGUGAAGCCCUGGGUUUGAGACUCAGCACCA
Molecule: transfer RNA, 67 nt
Filed under: Marmota monax (woodchuck)
Lineage: Eukaryota; Metazoa; Chordata; Mammalia; Rodentia; Sciuridae
Description: tRNA.Ala
Source: RNAcentral